ACUCCGUACGGGAGGCAGCAGGUGGGGAAUAUUGCACAAUGGGGGAAACCCUGAUGCAGCCAUGGCCGCGUGUGUGAAGAAGGCCUUCGGUUGUAAAGCACUUUCAGUAGGGAGGAAGGUAGUGUAGUUAACACCUGCACUAUUGACGUUACCUACAGAAGAAGCACCGGCUAACUCCGUGCCAGCAGCCGCGGUAAUACGGAGGGUGCGAGCGUUAAUCGGAAUUACUGGGCGUAAAGCGCAUGCAGGCGGCCUGUUAAGUCAGAUGUGAAAGCCCGGGGCUUAACCUCGGAAUUGCAUUUGAAACUGGCAGGCUAGAGUCUUGUAGAGGGGGGUAGAAUUUCAGGUGUAGCGGUGAAAUGCGUAGAGAUCUGAAGGAAUACCAGUGGCGAAGGCGGCCCCCUGGACAAAGACUAGACGCUCAGAUGCGAAAGCGUGGGGAGCAAACAGGAUUAGAUACCCUGGUAGCACAGAG
Molecule: ribosomal RNA, 475 nt
Filed under: uncultured bacterium
Lineage: Bacteria
Description: bacterial SSU rRNA
Rfam family: Bacterial small subunit ribosomal RNA
Source: RNAcentral